Molecule: ribosomal RNA, 429 nt
Filed under: Pseudomonadota bacterium
Lineage: Bacteria; Pseudomonadati; Pseudomonadota
Description: Proteobacteria bacterium partial 16S ribosomal RNA
Rfam family: Bacterial small subunit ribosomal RNA
Source: RNAcentral
UGGGGAAUAUUGGACAAUGGGCGAAAGCCUGAUCCAGCCAUGCCGCGUGUGUGAAGAAGGUGUUCGGAUUGUAAAGUACUUGAAGUUGGGAGGAAGGGCAGUAAGCGAAUACCUUGCUGUUUUGACGUUACCGACAGAAUAAGCACCGGCUAACUCUGUGCCAGCAGCCGCGGUAAUACAGAGGGUGCAAGCGUUAAUCGGAAUUACUGGGCGUAAAGCGCGCGUAGGUGGUUCGUUAAGUUGAAUGUGAAAGCCCCGGGCUCAACCUGGGAACUGCAUCCAAAACUGGCGAGCUAGAGUAGGGCAGAGGGUGGUGGAAUGUCCUGUGUAGCGGUGAAAUGCGUAGAUAUAGGAAGGAACACCAGUGGCGAAGGCGACCACCUGGGCUCAUACUGACACUGAGGUGCGAAAGCGUGGGGAGCAAACAGG